Molecule: non-coding RNA, 1254 nt
Organism: Callithrix jacchus (white-tufted-ear marmoset)
Lineage: Eukaryota; Metazoa; Chordata; Mammalia; Primates; Cebidae
Source: RefSeq, a predicted model, not a curated record
UUUCCAUUUAUUAGUCAAUGGCAGCUCCUAAGAAAGGUUUGGCCAGUUACAGACAAUAAAAAAGCUACUUUUGGUUUGCACAAUUGAGUUGUAGUGUGAGUAAAGAAUAUGUUGACUACAUUAAUUAGCUGUAGUAACAAUAAGAAUGAUAUCUCGGCUGGGCACGGUGUCUCACACCUGUAAUCCCAGCACUUUGGGAGGCCAAGGCGGGUGGAUCACGAGGUCAGGAGAUCGAGACCAUCUUGGCCAACAUGGUGAAACCUCGUUGCUACUAAAAAUAAAAAAUUGGUUGGGCAUGGUGGUGCGUGCCUUUAAUCCCAGCUACUUGGGAGGCUGAGUCAGGAGAAUCACUUGAACCAGGGAGAGGGAGGUUGCAGUGAGCCGAGAUCGCACCAUUGCACUCCAGCUUGGUGGCAGAGAUGGUGUUUCAUCAUGUUCUCCAGACUGGUUGCAAACUCCUCAGCUGAAACAAUCUUCCCACCUUUCAAAGUGUUGUGAUUACAGGUGUGAGCCCUGUGCCCAGCCCGAAAAUUUCAAUGUGACUCUUAAAAUCAUCUAGUCAAAAUGGAAUUAUGACUGGAAGUGCACUAAGAAGAUUCCUUUGGAAAGAAUGAACAUGUUUUCAAUAUUUUUACAUCUCGAAAACAUUGAAUCUCACGCACCCAGAAAAAUGUCUUAAUUUAUUCAAAACUUUUCUUUUGAACUAAUGUAAAAUUUCAUAGUUUUACUGAAGUCUUGAAUAUUCCUGAGAUAGUUAUUCUUCAAUAGUUUGUGAGUUUUAUUUCUUUGUGAAUAGAAGUGUUUCCCCUGGUAUAUUUGAAUUGGUUAUUCUGGCACAUUGAAAGCUAAUACUCUUUGUGUAUUUAUUUUGAAUGAACUGACUUUUAGAAUUUUUAUUCAUUUUAAUGAUUUUUAGGUUGAUUUUCUUGCAUUCUGUACAUUACAAAAUGUCAUUAUGUUGAGUGGUUGGAAAGCUUAUGAGAAAUAUUACACUGAUCUAUUAACGAGGGGAAAGAUAUAUUAUACUAGGAAACAUUUAGAACAAGAUGCUAGUAUAUAAACUCUAAGCGUGACUUCUAUACAGCAGUUGUUCUUAGGUUUGACAUACAUUGGAAUCACCUGGGGAGCUUUAGAAAACAGUGAUGUCUGGCCCCUUCCCUCAGACACGCUAAUUUCUGGGCAUCAGGACAUUAAAACUCCUUCCUCCAUCCCUCCAUCUUUCCCUCCUUUCCCUUCCUUCCCUCCCUCCCUCCC